UACGGGGGGGGCAAGCGUUGUUCGGAAUUACUGGGCGUAAAGGGUUCGUAGGUGGCCAACUAAGUCAGACGUGAAAUCCCUCAGCUUAACUGGGGAACUGCGUCUGAGACUGGAUGGCUUGAGUGCAGGAGAGGAACGCGGAAUUCCAGGUGUAGCGGUGAAAUGCGUAGAUAUCGAGAGGAACACCAGUGGCGAAGGCGAGUCUCUGGACGACUCCUGACACUGAGGCACGAAAGCUAGGGGAGCAAACAGG
RNAcentral lists this ribosomal RNA (253 nucleotides) under uncultured bacterium. Its description in RNAcentral is "partial 16S ribosomal RNA". It matches the Rfam family "Bacterial small subunit ribosomal RNA", at positions 524 to 776 of the family's 1533-position model. The record is from RNAcentral.